Molecule: long non-coding RNA, 122 nt
Organism: Thalassophryne amazonica
Lineage: Eukaryota; Metazoa; Chordata; Actinopteri; Batrachoidiformes; Batrachoididae
Exons: 3
Source: RefSeq, a predicted model, not a curated record
CACGGUGUGAAAAAAACUAAACGGUCAGGCUCUUAAUCACAGAAAUAACUCUGGUCCCACAUGUGAGGGAUUUUAAUGGAAAAUAAUUGUGAUCGGACGGGACAUUUUAACUGAUGUGAGUG